CUGACGGCGGACGCGGCGCAGCGCGCCCGGUUACCUGCGGGAGGGCGGCGGGGGAGGCGGCCGAGGGUCUUGGCUCCGGUCCCCAAUUCGCCCCCUGUUGACACCAACCACCCUCGCCUACCCUGUGAGGCUGUAGCCACUACACCCACAAUCUUCGGGGGGUACGCUCCCUCCGACACCAUAGAGACGGGUCCGGAAACCGGACAGAACGCCAGCCUCCAGCCCUCCGGCACCACCACUGAGCUGAACCAACCCGGAACCGAGACAGAGCGGCCGCACAGGUGACUCUCACGCCCGUGCCAUCUUGAGUGUGGGCGCCGGUGCCGGUCGCGGCUUCGCUCCCUCCUUCCAGCGGCCCGGGCGGCCCGGGCGGCCCCGGAGAAUGUUUCUUCUAUUGGCGCUUACGUUGAACUCUCAAGUUUGCCUUGAGUUUGAUCUUUAGGCCUUUGGCCGCGCAGUUUCAAUUUGAUAUCCGCCCGAAUCCAAGAUGGCCGCCGUCGCCUCUGACAAAUCGUGAAGGGGCGGGGCGCAGAAACGAAGUAGGGAAGCCGGCCGGGGCCUUCGGGGUGACGUCGCUCGCCCCGGCGGCGGCGAUUGGUGGCGCUGCGUGGGCCCGAGUCGUGCAGCCGGCUGGUGCAGGCGGGCGGCGCUGGAGGUGCUGCUGGCUUCAGCCGCUGAGACGGAAGUUCAGCAAAGAGUAAAUCGCGGGUGCUCCUGUUUAUAGCACCUAUUAUCAAUAUUAAUGGUGCUUAUUUAAUAGGGCGCUGUGGGAAUAUACCUAACAGUUUUUAAACGACUGAGUGAACUGCGUCUUCUCUGCUCGCCUCCCUGCUAAAUGCUCUGCAACCUCACCGUUGACAGCUGACCUGAAUAAUUUGAUCAUCCCAAACUUUUAGGUUCUUCCUGGUAGCUGAAGAGGUUUAAGAUGGAUAAGGAUGCCACAAUUUCUGCAUAAGGUUAAGUGGAAGCAAAAAGAAUUUGAAUGCACCGUAUCUUCAUGCUCCGUAGUCACUUGUGGGUAGUGACUACCAUAGCGGAGAAUACCAUUCUGGGCAGGGUGACCACCAACCACCUUGCACUAGAAAAUUGAGAAGCAGAAGUACAGUGCUCCAGAGGCAGGUUUCCGUUAUCAGUGUCAUCGGCAUCUGGCAACCAGAAAUCUUCCAGGCCAGUGGCAGAGCCAGCACCAUUAGGGACACGGCCUCAAAUGGCAUCUCCAAAGGCUGAGGCACCUUGAAUUUUUAGCCUGUGUUUAUUCAGAGGCUUUCAGGAACUUGGAAACAAGCAGCACAGAGUAGAAACAAGAAGCACAAAUAUGCAAAGGCACCUUAAAAACAGAACAUCUCACAAAGGGACCUCACAGCAACAGUACCAUAGUUCUAAAAGAAGAAGAGAAUCCUCAGAAGGGAAACUGUUAGCCAUGUUGGCACAGAAGAAGAUGCUCCUCAGAGGCAAAGCUAGCAACUAACCCAAGCAAUUCCUUGGGGUGACUAUCAGGAUACUAUCAGGAACAUCUGACCUUUUUGGCAGGCUUGUCCUCAUUGAGGAACAGGCCUUAAAAAAGGUUCUGAGAGUCUGAGGUCAUCAUACAUUUUAACUGCAAAGCUGUAUUUUAUUUCUACGACCAAAAAGCAAACUUCCGAUUAUUGUAUUACCAUGUGAUUUGACAAAAGGUUAUGUAAAGGAUAAACUUAGACAUUAUUCAAUCUGCCUGAUGUACACUGACAGAUAGAUACUCAGAUGUUUUAAAAAAGAUUUGUCAGUCACAUUGUUGGUAAGAAUUUGCACUCCCAAGUCAGUUAAAGUAAGAUCGAACCUUGAACUCAAACUGAUGAGUUUGAGUUUCUGAGCCUGCAAGUUUACUGUAAUAAAGUUCUAUUUACUCAGUCGACAGUUCACCCAGAGACAUCUGUGUGUUUAGGCCAAAUUUUUUGAACUUCCAUAGAUAUCCCUUGGGAAAAAAUUUUAAGGGGAAAAAUUAGAAACUAUUAAAAAUCAGUUUUUCUGUAAUUAUCCAUCAUGUAUCACAGAUGAACUUGCUGUUUAAAGAAAAGAAUGUCUGAAACAUUAUGACCAGUUUGCAUGGUACUUUGAUGUAAGUUGUAGGUCCUUUUGUUUUAUGAAAGAUCAGCUAUAUUCACACAGUUAAUAUCUUUUAAAUAAAGUUCACUCUGAAACACAAAAGCUUGAUUCUUUAAA
Molecule: long non-coding RNA, 2199 nt
Organism: Canis lupus familiaris (dog)
Lineage: Eukaryota; Metazoa; Chordata; Mammalia; Carnivora; Canidae
Exons: 3
Source: RefSeq, a predicted model, not a curated record